This is a long non-coding RNA of Sciurus carolinensis (gray squirrel), 257 nucleotides long. RefSeq lists it as uncharacterized. Lineage: Eukaryota; Metazoa; Chordata; Mammalia; Rodentia; Sciuridae. The transcript is spliced from 4 exons. The record is from RefSeq and is a predicted model, not a curated record.
ACUAUCCAUUUUCUAGGUAAUAUAAAUGAAAUACUAUGGGACAAACUAUUAAAUUGAAUAACCAAGAACAAAAAUGGAUGGGGUUGCUUGAGUGGAAAAAGGGUGUGAAGAAAGAUAGAAGCAGGAACAUCACAAUGGACAUUAAGCUCAGGCAGCUAGUUAACGAAAACCUGAGAAAGGAUUUCUCUUCAUCAGAAAGGAUUAGGAAGAGCUGGAAGUCAAAGGGAAGAUUCAAAAAAGCUCCUAUUAUAUUAAGG